Molecule: ribosomal RNA, 439 nt
Filed under: uncultured bacterium
Lineage: Bacteria
Description: bacterial SSU rRNA
Rfam family: Bacterial small subunit ribosomal RNA
Source: RNAcentral
GAGCGGAAAGGCCCUUCGGGGUACUCGAGCGGCGAACGGGUGAGUAACACGUGAGCAACCUGCCCCUGACUAUGGGAUAAGCCCGGGAAACUGGGUCUAAUACCGGAUAUGACCGCCUCCGGCAUCGGAUGGUGGUGGAAAGUUUUUCGGUUGGGGAUGGGCUCGCGGCCUAUCAGCUUGUUGGUGGGGUAGUGGCCUACCAAGGCGACGACGGGUAGCCGGCCUGAGAGGGCGACCGGCCACACUGGGACUGAGACACGGCCCAGACUCCUACGGGAGACAGCAGUGGGGAAUAUUGCGCAAUGGGCGGAAGCCUGACGCAGCGACGCCGCGUGGGGGAUGACGGCCUUCGGGUUGUAAACCCCUUUCAGCAGGGACGAAGUUGACGUGUACCUGCAGAAGAAGCGCCGGCUAACUACGUGCCAGCAGCCGCGGUAAU